RNAcentral lists this ribosomal RNA (474 nucleotides) under Babesia gibsoni. Its description in RNAcentral is "SSU rRNA". It matches the Rfam family "Eukaryotic small subunit ribosomal RNA", at positions 511 to 1037 of the family's 1831-position model. Lineage: Eukaryota; Apicomplexa; Aconoidasida; Piroplasmida; Babesiidae. The record is from RNAcentral.
GGAAUGAUGGUGACGUAAAAUCUCACCAGAGUAACAAUUGGAGGGCAAGUCUGGUGCCAGCAGCCGCGGUAAUUCCAGCUCCAAUAGCGUAUAUUAAACUUGUUGCAGUUAAAAAGCUCGUAGUUGAAUUUCUGCGUUGCCCGACUCGGCUACUUGCCUUGUCUGGUUUCGCUUUUGGGGUUUUCCCCUUUUUACUUUGAGAAAAUUAGAGUGUUUCAAGCAGACUUGUGUCUUGAAUACUUCAGCAUGGAAUAAUAAAGUAGGACUUUGGUUCUAUUUUGUUGGUUUGUGAACCUUAGUAAUGGUUAAUAGGAACGGUUGGGGGCAUUCGUAUUUAACUGUCAGAGGUGAAAUUCUUAGAUUUGUUAAAGACGAACUACUGCGAAAGCAUUUGCCAAGGACGUUUUCAUUAAUCAAGAACGAAAGUUAGGGGAUCGAAGACGAUCAGAUACCGUCGUAGUCCUAACCAUAAAC